This 265-nucleotide ribosomal RNA is filed under the name uncultured bacterium. RNAcentral's name for it is "partial 16S ribosomal RNA". It matches the Rfam family "Bacterial small subunit ribosomal RNA", at positions 335 to 617 of the family's 1533-position model. The record is from RNAcentral.
UCACCUACGGGGGGCAGCAGUGGGGAAUAUUGCACAAUGGGGGAAACCCUGAUGCAGCGACGCCGCGUGAGUGAAGAAGUAUUUCGGUAUGUAAAGCUCUGUCAGCAGGGAAGAAAAUGACGGUACCUGACCAAGAAGCCCCGGCUAACUACGUGCCAGCAGCCGCGGUAAUACGUAGGGGGCAAGCGUUAUCCGGAUUUACUGGGUGUAAAGGGUGCGUAGGCGGCCUUGCAAGUCAGAAGUGAAAUCCAUGGGCUUAACCCGU